Molecule: non-coding RNA, 81 nt
Organism: Aeromonas diversa
Lineage: Bacteria; Pseudomonadati; Pseudomonadota; Gammaproteobacteria; Aeromonadales; Aeromonadaceae
Source: Rfam
GUCUACACAUACACGUUCCUUGCCUCCGAGGUUUGGCUGCACCCGGGCGGAGGCUGAUUAACCCGUAAGGAGCUGAUAAUG